ACAAGUCGAGCAGGGACGAAAGUCGGGCUUAGUGAUCCGGUGGUUCCGUAUGGAAGGGCCAUCGCUCAACGGAUAAAAGCUACCCUGGGGAUAACAGGCUUAUCUCCCCCAAGAGUCCACAUCGACGGGGAGGUUUGGCACCUCGAUGUCGGCUCGUCGCAUCCUGGGGCUGUAGUCGGUCCCAAGGGUUGGGCUGUUCGCCCAUUAAAGCGGUACGCGAGCUGGGUUCAGAACGUCGUGAGACAGUUCGGUCCCUAUCCGUCGCGGGCGCUGGAGAUUUGAAGAGAGCCAUCCUUAGUACGAGAGGACCGGGAUGGACACACCGCUGGUGUACCAGUUGUCAUGCCAAUGGCAUAGCUGGGUAGCUAUGUGUGGGAAGGAUAAACGCUGAAAGCAUCUAAGCGUGAAGCCCCCUUUAAGAUGAGAUCUCCCAUUCCAUUAAGGAAGUAAGACCCCUGAUAGACGAUCAGGUAGAUAGGCUGAGAGUGUAAGUAUAGUGAUAUAUUGAGCAGAUCAGUACUAAUCGGUCGAGGACUUAACCAC
RNAcentral lists this ribosomal RNA (543 nucleotides) under Tetragenococcus koreensis. RNAcentral describes it as "partial 23S ribosomal RNA". It matches the Rfam family "Bacterial large subunit ribosomal RNA", at positions 2384 to 2925 of the family's 2925-position model. The record is from RNAcentral. Lineage: Bacteria; Bacillati; Bacillota; Bacilli; Lactobacillales; Enterococcaceae.